RNAcentral lists this ribosomal RNA (515 nucleotides) under uncultured bacterium. RNAcentral's name for it is "partial 16S ribosomal RNA". It matches the Rfam family "Bacterial small subunit ribosomal RNA", at positions 28 to 523 of the family's 1533-position model. The record is from RNAcentral.
GAUGAACGCUGGCGGCGUGCCUAAUACAUGCAAGUCGAGCGAAUGGAUUAAGAGCUUGCUCUUAUGAAGUUAGCGGCGGACGGGUGAGUAACACGUGGGUAACAUGCCCAUAAGACUGGGAUAACUCCGGGAAACCGGGGCUAAUACCGGACAACAUUUUGAACCGCAUGGUUGCAAAUUGAUAGGCGGCUUCGGCUGUUCCUUAUGGAUGGCCCCGCGUCGCAUUUGCUAGUUGGUGAGGUAACGGCACACCAAGGCAACGAUGAGUAGCUGACCUGAGAGGGUGAUCGGCCACACUGGGACUGAGACACGGCCCAGACUCCUACGGGAGGCAGCAGUAGGGAAUCUUCCGCAAUGGACGAAAGUCUGACGGAGCAACGCCGCGUGAGUGAUGAAGGCUUUCGGGUCGUAAAACUCUGUUGUUAGGGAAGAACAAGUGCUAGUUGAAUAAGCUGGCACCUUGACGGUACCUAACCAAAAAGCCACGGCUAACUACGUGCCAGCCGCCGCCGUAA